GCUGGCUGUGGUGGUGCAUGCCUGUGGUCCCAGCUACUUGGGAGGCAGAGGCGGGAGGAUCACUCGAGCCCAGGAGGUUGAGGGUGCAGUGAGCCAUGAUCUGGCCACUGCACUCCAGCCUGGGUGACAGAGUGAGACCCUGUAUCAA
Pongo abelii (Sumatran orangutan) is the source of this 148-nucleotide unclassified non-coding RNA. It matches the Rfam family "Metazoan signal recognition particle RNA". Rfam says of the family: The signal recognition particle (SRP) is a universally conserved ribonucleoprotein. Lineage: Eukaryota; Metazoa; Chordata; Mammalia; Primates; Hominidae. The record is from Ensembl.